CAGUCGCCACGGUAAUACAGAGGGUGCAAGCGUUAAUCGGAAUUACUGGGCGUAAAGCGUGCGUAGGCGGUGAGUUAAGUCUGCUGUGAAAUCCCCGGGCUCAACCUGGGAAUGGCAGUGGAUACUGGCUCGCUAGAGUGUGUCAGAGGAUGGUGGAAUUCCCGGUGUAGCGGUGAAAUGCGUAGAGAUCGGGAGGAACAUCAGUGGCGAAGGCGGCCAUCUGGGACAACACUGACGCUGAGGCACGAAAGCGUGGGGAGCAAACAGGAUUAGAUACCCCCGUAGUCCCUGUCUCUUAUAC
Molecule: ribosomal RNA, 301 nt
Filed under: uncultured bacterium
Lineage: Bacteria
Description: partial 16S ribosomal RNA
Rfam family: Bacterial small subunit ribosomal RNA
Source: RNAcentral